RNAcentral lists this ribosomal RNA (449 nucleotides) under uncultured bacterium. Its description in RNAcentral is "partial 16S ribosomal RNA". It matches the Rfam family "Bacterial small subunit ribosomal RNA", at positions 29 to 523 of the family's 1533-position model. The record is from RNAcentral.
AACGAACGCUGGCGGCAGGCCUAACACAUGCAAGUCGAACGCCCUAGCAAUAGGGAGUGGCAGACGGGUGAGUAACACGUGGGAACGUGCCCUUCGGUUCGGAAUAACUCAGGGAAACUUGAGCUAAUACCGGAUAAGUGCGAGAGCAGAAAGAUUUAUCGCCGAAGGAUCGGCCCGCGUCCGAUUGGCUAGUUGGUGGGGUAAUGGCUCACCAAGGCGACGAUCGGUAGCUGGUCUGAGAGGAUGACCAGCCACACUGGGACUGAGACACGGCCCAGACUCCUACGGGAGGCAGCAGUGGGGAAUAUUGGACAAUGGGCGCAAGCCUGAUCCAGCCAUGCCGCGUGAGUGAUGAAGGCCCUAGGGUUGUAAAGCUCUUUCGCCAGGGACGAUAAUGACGGUACCUGGAUAAGAAGCCCCGGCUAACUUCGUGCCAGCAGCCGCCGUAA